Molecule: ribosomal RNA, 327 nt
Filed under: Klebsiella pneumoniae subsp. pneumoniae
Lineage: Bacteria; Pseudomonadati; Pseudomonadota; Gammaproteobacteria; Enterobacterales; Enterobacteriaceae
Description: bacterial LSU rRNA
Rfam family: Bacterial large subunit ribosomal RNA
Source: RNAcentral
GAAACAUCUAAGUACCCCGAGGAAAAGAAAUCAACCGAGAUUCCCCCAGUAGCGGCGAGCGAACGGGGAGCAGCCCAGAGUCUGAAUCAGCUUGUGUGUUAGUGGAACGGUCUGGAAAGUCCGACGGUACAGGGUGAUAGUCCCGUACACCAAAAUGCACAGGUUGUGAACUCGAAGAGUAGGGCGGGACACGUGGUAUCCUGUCUGAAUAUGGGGGGACCAUCCUCCAAGGCUAAAUACUCCUGACUGACCGAUAGUGAACCAGUACCGUGAGGGAAAGGCGAAAAGAACCCCGGCGAGGGGAGUGAAAAAGAACCUGAAACCGUG